AUACGUAGGGUGCGGGCGUUAAUCGGAAUUACUGGGCGUAAAGCGUGCGCAGGCGGUUAUGUAAGACAGAUGUGAAAUCCCCGGGCUCAACCUGGGAACUGCAUUUGUGACUGCAUAGCUAGAGUACGGCAGAGGGGGAUGGAAUUCCGCGUGUAGCAGUGAAAUGCGUAGAUAUGCGGAGGAACACCGAUGGCGAAGGCAAUCCCCUGGGCCUGUACUGACGCUCAUGCACGAAAGCGUGGGGAGCAAACAGGAUUAGAAACCCUAGUAGUCC
RNAcentral lists this ribosomal RNA (274 nucleotides) under uncultured bacterium. RNAcentral describes it as "partial 16S ribosomal RNA". It matches the Rfam family "Bacterial small subunit ribosomal RNA", at positions 523 to 796 of the family's 1533-position model. The record is from RNAcentral.